This is a long non-coding RNA of Mauremys mutica (yellowpond turtle), 414 nucleotides long. RefSeq lists it as uncharacterized. NCBI's taxonomy places the organism in Eukaryota, Metazoa, Chordata, Testudines, Geoemydidae. The transcript is spliced from 3 exons. The record is from RefSeq and is a predicted model, not a curated record.
AAACAAAGUCCGAAGUUCUGAUGAAGGUGGUAAAGGAGUCCAUGUUUCCUCUCAGCAGCAUUUCCACGCUUUCUAAAACAUGUGUCCUUGGGGGCCUUCCUGAGGAUUCUACAAACAGCCUCUGAGUCAUGGCUGCUAUGAUACUACAGGUGCAUGUGACCUGGAAGUCAAAUGAUGAGCUAUAGCUAGCUGCAUCAUUUUAGGAGACAGCCAGAAUCCCAGUGUUUGCACGCAUGGUGCACUAGGUGCAGGAAACAUCACUUUCCUUAAAGGGAUGGGCACAGAUGGGACCAAAGCCAGACCAGGUAGGACCACUUCUGAACCUGCAAAGAGAUUUAAGAGCUGCAAAGUGCCCCCAGAGCAUUCCUGGCUGGUGUAGUGCACCUGUGUACUAUGCAACAGAUUGCCCUUACA